Molecule: long non-coding RNA, 256 nt
Filed under: Arabidopsis lyrata
Lineage: Eukaryota; Viridiplantae; Streptophyta; Magnoliopsida; Brassicales; Brassicaceae
Description: long non-coding RNA (ALYR_LNC002706)
Source: RNAcentral
CUUCUUCUUUGUUAACUCCCGAGCUCGUUGUCUGAAGAAGAGAUUUCAAACGGCGAAUCUCAUCCCUCGCCUCCAGUAAACUCAUCUUCUGCCAACUACAUUGUUUCUCAACAUCAGCCCAUGAAACAAAGCCAUGGACAUCACACUUGUAAAAUCUCCUUCCUGGAUUAUCAUCUGUCCAUGCCUUCAACUUAAUUGUAGACCUACCACAGUUACAAGCACGUCCCCAGCUCACCUCUCCACAACUCUUGUUGCU